Molecule: ribosomal RNA, 484 nt
Filed under: uncultured bacterium
Lineage: Bacteria
Description: partial 16S ribosomal RNA
Rfam family: Bacterial small subunit ribosomal RNA
Source: RNAcentral
AUUGAACGCUGGCGGCAGGCCUAACACAUGCAAGUCGAGCGGAUGAAGGGAGCUUGCUCCUGGAUUCAGCGUCGGACGGGUGAGUAAUGCCUAGGAAUCUGCCUGGUAGUGGGGGAUAACGUCCGGAAACGGGCGCUAAUACCGCAUACGUCCUGAGGGAGAAAGUGGGGGAUCUUCGGACCUCACGCUAUCAGAUGAGCCUAGGUCGGAUUAGCUAGUUGGUGGGGUAAAGGCCUACCAAGGCGACGAUCCGUAACUGGUCUGAGAGGAUGAUCAGUCACACUGGAACUGAGACACGGUCCAGACUCCUACGGGAGGCAGCAGUGGGGAAUAUUGGACAAUGGGCGAAAGCCUGAUCCAGCCAUGCCGCGUGUGUGAAGAAGGUCUUCGGAUUGUAAAGCACUUUAAGUUGGGAGGAAGGGCAGUAAGUUAAUACCUUGCUGUUUUGACGUUACCAACAGAAUAAGCACCGGCUAACUUCGUG